Molecule: ribosomal RNA, 412 nt
Filed under: Escherichia coli
Lineage: Bacteria; Pseudomonadati; Pseudomonadota; Gammaproteobacteria; Enterobacterales; Enterobacteriaceae
Description: partial 23S ribosomal RNA
Rfam family: Bacterial large subunit ribosomal RNA
Source: RNAcentral
UAAUGUUGAAAAAUUAGCGGAUGACUUGUGGCUGGGGGUGAAAGGCCAAUCAAACCGGGAGAUAGCUGGUUCUCCCCGAAAGCUAUUUAGGUAGCGCCUCGUGAAUUCAUCUCCGGGGGUAGAGCACUGUUUCGGCAAGGGGGUCAUCCCGACUUACCAACCCGAUGCAAACUGCGAAUACCGGAGAAUGUUAUCACGGGAGACACACGGCGGGUGCUAACGUCCGUCGUGAAGAGGGAAACAACCCAGACCGCCAGCUAAGGUCCCAAAGUCAUGGUUAAGUGGGAAACGAUGUGGGAAGGCCCAGACAGCCAGGAUGUUGGCUUAGAAGCAGCCAUCAUUUAAAGAAAGCGUAAUAGCUCACUGGUCGAGUCGGCCUGCGCGGAAGAUGUAACGGGGCUAAACCAUGCAC